GAUUGAACGCUGGCGGCGUGCCUAACACAUGCAAGUCGAGCGGUAACAGGUGUAGCAAUACAUGCUGACGAGCGGCGAACGGGUGAGUAAUGCUUCGGAAUCUACCCAAGUGGUGGGGAAUAACCAGCCGAAAGGUUGGCUAAUACCGCAUACGUCCCACGGGAGAAAGCAGGGGAUCGCAAGACCUUGCGCCAAUGGAUGAGCCGAAGUCGGAUUAGCUAGNGGUAGGGUAACGGCCUACCAAGGCGACGAUCCGUAGCUGGUCUGAGAGGACGACCAGCCACACUGGGACUGAGACACGGCCCAGACUCCUACGGGAGGCAGCAGUGGGGAAUAUUGGACAAUGGGGGAAACCCUGAUCCAGCGACGCCGCGUGUGUGAAGAAGGCCUGCGGGUUGUAAAGCACUUUUAGUGGGAUGAAAUUGUUCAGGGUUAACACCUCUGGAUUUUGACCUAACCCACAGAAAAAGCACCGGCUAACUCU
Molecule: ribosomal RNA, 484 nt
Filed under: uncultured bacterium
Lineage: Bacteria
Description: bacterial SSU rRNA
Rfam family: Bacterial small subunit ribosomal RNA
Source: RNAcentral